GCUUCUAUAGAUCAGUGUUAGAUCACCUCCGCUGCGUGCAUCUGUUUCAAGUAUACAUCGGAGGAGACGUAGGUUCGAGUCCUAGUGGAGGUG
This is a non-coding RNA of Mycena metata, 93 nucleotides long. NCBI's taxonomy places the organism in Eukaryota, Fungi, Basidiomycota, Agaricomycetes, Agaricales, Mycenaceae. The record is from the annotation of a GenBank genome assembly.